RNAcentral lists this long non-coding RNA (978 nucleotides) under Mus spicilegus (steppe mouse). RNAcentral describes it as "lncRNA (ENSMSIG00000014222.1)". The record is from RNAcentral. Lineage: Eukaryota; Metazoa; Chordata; Mammalia; Rodentia; Muridae.
CUUCAACCAUGUUUUCAAUGUGAAGAGAGGAUGAGAAGAGUCUAUGGCCAAUAAGGUGGCCUUUCCUCAACCCUGAAUCUGAGGGUCUAAGCACCUUGACCUUAGACUUGCCAAUCUCCAGAACUUCGAGAAACUCACUUCUGUUGAUUAAGUCACCCUCAUGGGACUUUUGUUAUAGUAGCAUGGAUGACAUCCUGGGUAGGCCUCUACCUAAAACAGCAGCAUGGGUACUCAGCUGUGCUGCCAGAAUGUGGACUGGGGGAUGUCUAGAGGGCCACACACCUUAUACCUCCCAGUUCCUGGCCUGGUGCUCUGUGGAAGCAGUGCUCAUUCUCUUCUGUCCUCCACACUCCCUAGAACACAAAGUAUAUGCACGGCUGCCCUGAACCCAGAACCUGACACCUGACAGCCCUGGAAUGUCUUUACAGACUCUUGGCGUGGUUCACUCUGAGGCUAUGAGGGGACUGAAAGUUUCCUGCCUUUACCGACACGUCUGCUCCUCAGGUUCAAGGACCUGGUGACGCCCCUUUCCUAUGUCCACUGAGGUGACAAUGCUUUGGAUGAGGAGGUGGUAUCAUGGUACUCCCGUGGGAUUUCCCGAAGAAGGUAAAGCCACUGUCCAUCAAAAGUAAAAUUCUGAUUCUCCUUGGUUCCAUCUCUUUUCUUGUACAAACACAUACUGAGUACUAUGUAGCCCCUCUUUGAGGCAAUCCCCCCAAAUGGUCACAUGUUUCAUGAGAUGCCCCACAACAGCCCAGGACAUAGGCCAACUAUGUGUUAUCUGCAUCACAUAACUCUGGUAAUACAGGAGAGUUCAGAUCUGAGGCUGUGGGAGAAGGAUAUAGAAGAAUACCGCAGUCAAUGGAGAUAGAUAGCAACACUCUUCACUGAGGAAGGUGGUACGUCUUUUAAGACAGCCAUUCGCAGAUCUUCAAGAAACUGGGACAAAAUAAAACACCCCAAAUCAGAGGUGUCUCA